Molecule: long non-coding RNA, 571 nt
Organism: Carassius carassius (crucian carp)
Lineage: Eukaryota; Metazoa; Chordata; Actinopteri; Cypriniformes; Cyprinidae
Exons: 2
Source: RefSeq, a predicted model, not a curated record
CUCAACCAAUGAGAUGACGAGAAGUUGUUUAACUCGGAGAGAAACGUCAACCUGCGCAUGUUUUGAGUUUUACUCAGUGCCCUACUUGACUUUUUUGUAUAUUCAGAUAUAGGCAAUGUCCAUCUUACCUCCUACUAAGGAGAUCCAGACCUUGUGGACGGCUGUGGCUGACUGGCUCCAUUCACUAUUCUCCUGGGAUCUCCAGGAUACAGCGUCUGACAUGCCUUCAUGGAGGUUUAGCAGAGCUGGGUUUGGUGGGACCCUCUGGAAUGGACCCUCGACCAAAUUGUGUUGUGGUCUGCGGGGACAGAGUGUGCCAGUGGAACAGAGUGGAGAGGAUCUGGCUCACUCGGCCCACUCAGGUUUCCUCACACUGAGCUCAUGUUACAGUCCUCGCAAGGUGUGACUCUCAAAGUUCCUUUUCCGAACCGACUGCACUAUUGAGACGUUUCUUCCUCCGGAUCAUCUUGUCACAUAUGGUGUAUCAAUGCUUUUUAGAGCAUGCUAGCUAUUGUUUUGAUUCUGUACAGGCAGAUGACAUCAUGGAAAAGUAAAGUUACAGGUUUCACAA